CGGCGGACGGGUGAGUAACACGUGGAUAACCUACCUAUAAGACUGGGAUAACUUCUGGAAACCGGAGCUAAUACCGGAUAACAUAUUGAACCGCAUGGUUCAAUAGUGAAAGGCGGCUUUGCUGUCACUUAUAGAUGGAUCCGCGCCGUAUUAGCUAGUUGGUAAGGUAACGGCUUACCAAGGCAACGAUACGUAGCCGACCUGAGAGGGUGAUCGGCCACACUGGAACUGAGACACGGUCCAG
This 244-nucleotide ribosomal RNA is filed under the name uncultured Staphylococcus sp. Its description in RNAcentral is "partial 16S ribosomal RNA". It matches the Rfam family "Bacterial small subunit ribosomal RNA", at positions 96 to 334 of the family's 1533-position model. The record is from RNAcentral. Lineage: Bacteria; Bacillati; Bacillota; Bacilli; Caryophanales; Staphylococcaceae.